CCUACGGGACGCAGCAGUAGGGAAUAUUGCACAAUGGGCGAAACCCUGAUGCAGCAACACCGCGUGGGGGAUGAAGGUCUUCGGAUUGUAAACUCCUUUUGUUAGAGAAGAUAAUGACGGUAUCUAACGAAUAAGCACCGGCUAACUCCGUGCCAGCAGCCGCGGUAAUACGGAGGGUGCUAGCGUUAUCCGGAAUCACUGGGCGUAAAGAGCGCGUAGGCGGGAUAGCAAGUCAGAUGUGAAAUCCUAUGGCUUAACCAUAGAACUGCAUUUGAAACUGUUAUUCUAGAGUAUGGGAGAGGUAG
RNAcentral lists this ribosomal RNA (305 nucleotides) under uncultured bacterium. RNAcentral's name for it is "bacterial SSU rRNA". It matches the Rfam family "Bacterial small subunit ribosomal RNA", at positions 338 to 660 of the family's 1533-position model. The record is from RNAcentral.